This 648-nucleotide ribosomal RNA is filed under the name uncultured soil bacterium. RNAcentral describes it as "bacterial SSU rRNA". It matches the Rfam family "Bacterial small subunit ribosomal RNA", at positions 28 to 670 of the family's 1533-position model. The record is from RNAcentral.
AACGAACGCUGGCGGCGCGCCUAAUACAUGCAAGUCGAACGAGAAUGUGUAGCAAUACACAUGUACAGUGGCGAACGGGUGAGGAAUACAUAGGUAACCUACCCUCGAGUGGGGAAUAACUAGCCGAAAGGUUAGCUAAUACCGCGUACGCUCCUUGGACUACGGUUCAGGGAGGAAAGCGAUACCGUGGGUAUCGCGCUCUUGGAUGGGCUUAUGUCCUAUCAGCUUGUUGGUGAGGUAACGGCUCACCAAGGCUUCGACGGGUAGCUGGUCUGAGAGGACGAUCAGCCACACUGGCACUGCGACACGGGCCAGACUCCUACGGGAGGCAGCAGUAAGGAAUAUUGCGCAAUGGGCGACAGCCUGACGCAGCGACGCCGCGUGGGGGACGAAGGUCUUCGGAUUGUAAACCCCUUUCGGGAGGGAAGAUGGGACGGGUAACCGUUCGGACGGUACCUCCAGAAGCAGCCACGGCUAACUUCGUGCCAGCAGCCGCGGUAAUACGAAGGUGGCAAGCGUUGUUCGGAUUUACUGGGCGUACAGGGAGCGUAGGCGGUUCGGUAAGCCCUCUGUGAAAUCUUCAGGCUUAACCUGGAACAGUCGGAGGGGACUGCUGGGCUAGAGGACGGGAGAGGAGCGCGGAAUUCC